AGAUGAAUGUGGUGGGGGCGGGGAGCGUGAGGUGGGAGUGGGGGACGCAUUUGGAGUUAAACGGUCCCACCAGAGGGAGUCAGGCAUAUUUUGAAGCACAAGGAAAGAGCCUGCUUUGUGCAGGGUGCCACAUGGAGUGCAGUCCACAGGGGGAGAGCCCACCUGUAUUCAAGAGGGAGAAGAACAUGGAAACUGACAGCAGGCCUGAUGAAGAACGGAAUGUGGCAAGCACAGCAGGAUUCGAUCAGGGAGGAAAGAAGGCUCAGAGAAAUGUCCGAGUGUAGGGAGACAGGGGGCCGUAUUCCGAGACAGACGCCUGACGUGUGCACCGCACCUUUAAAAAUCUACAGCACCCUAAGGAGGAGCCAUUAUGAUCCUAUUCAACAAAUCAGGACACCCAGGCUUAUCGAGGUUAACACGCCAAGGUCACACCACAAGCAUGGAGCCGGCUGCUGCUGCCCCCAGUCGUCCCCCUACCUCCACAUGGGCCUUGCCCCAUCAACCAACAGCUCACCAACCCAGUGCUGCAUCGCUGCAAAGAAGGCCGCUGUGCGUGGGCACCAUCUCCUGGUCGGCACCUACGUCCAGGAGACCAUGGGUAUCAAACACUCCCUGCGUUGUGCCCACGACAUAUUAAAAUAUUAACACAUAACUAUUAACAUUGAAAACGCUUAUCUGGAGACAUCCAAAGUCACCUUGGAUACCACAGGGGGUACAUAUGUCGCACAAGGGGAGCCACUGCAUCUUCCCAUGCUGAUCUUGAAAGAUGAGGAGUGUGGUUCACGGAGAAUCUGAAUUCACUCGAAUGUCACCCUACGUUGGUCAGCGUUAUUUUGUGUGGACACGGGCUUUUUGAUCGUUAUUCUGGCCACUAAGUGGAAUCCUAGGGUGCCUGCAGUGCACCUGGAUGGAAAGCAGUGAAUGUGAAUCCAAGACUGGUGGCCCGGCAAAGUCCCAGGGUCUGCCUGGCUCUCAGCCACUGCAGGCAGAGCUCCACCCCAGGGACGCGCUACUUCCCUGCCACUGCAGCAACACACUGCAACCACCAGAGGGCAGUAACACAAACUAGAUUUUUUUUCACUUGGACCCUAAUCUGAACACAUACAGUUUAAUAAUAUGUAAAGCCCAUUAUUACAAGCUUUUUUUCUCCCCACCCCCUAUUAAUGAACAAAUACCCAGGGGUAAUGCGGGUAUUUCUAAAUACAGUCAAGAAAGAGCAAUUCGUACUCAUACAUGAGGAGUCUAACACACAGUAAUAAGUGGAAAUGAAAAUAAUCACCCUGUGCAACUAAACCAUUAAGGCCAAAGAUUUAUCUGUCUAUAUGGCUGCACACACAGAGAUACAGAUGCCUGCCUCUCAGAAAUGGGCAUUUUAAAAACAUUCAUUUCACACAUUCUUGUUUAGGGUUCAUAAUAAUACCUGUGAUGAUAACCCCAAAGCUACAAGAGGGGUGUAAGAGGAAUUUCAUCUUUAUUCCCGGGCAGACAAAGGGGACUUUUCUCUUUGAUUAAGGGUGCUUCGAUGCAAAUAUUCAUAAGUGAUUUCUGGUGUUGGUGAAAGCAGAAUCUUUCAGUGCUGUUGCUGGUUUUCACAUCGGAGCACAGAGAAUGCAAGAGAUCAAGAAGGGGUAUGUCUAGAAUGCAACCUAUCCAUUUCUUCAUGAACAAAGAAACGGGAAUCAGCCUGCCAUCUUCUCUGUUCCCGACAGAAAGGAAGGUUCUCUGAUCCUAAAUUUCUGCAAUGGUUUGAAAUCUCAGGGCCCCUGGAAAAGCAGGAUGAAGUCAUUGCCAGUAGCCUUGUCUCUGGAGUCAGCCCAUUAAAACCGUGAUAUGUGUAAAAUGCUUGACAGAUUACCAAGUACAGUGUGUGAGGAAAGCAUGUGGAAUUCAGAGUCAGGUGGCUCUCACUAUAUGUAUUCCCUGGGUCAUCUUGGAAAUGUGAAUGAAGCCCUUUAAGCUUCGGUUCCUUUCUAAGGCAGGUAGGAGGGCAGAUCCUGAACCACCUCCCUGUGUGGGGUGAGGGUUACCACUCAUAUGAUGUGGGACAAAGCACAAGAAACUGUUACAAUUUAUAAAAACUUUUGCUGUUCUCAUCUUCCCACUUUAUAGGCAAGGAAGUAGAGCUGUAAGGGCUCACCCAAGGGCAGGGUCAGUAAGGGCAGAGCAGGACCCCAGCCAGGUGCCCUCACCCACCGCCGAGGGUCUCCACCCUUUCCUGGCAUCUCAGUAAGCUCUGCCUGCCACAACGUACUACAGACCGGGUGGCUUUAAAAAGGACAAUUAUUUAUCCCAGUUCUGGAGGCAGGGAGGUGCCAGCAGGAUAGGUUUCAUUGUG
Molecule: non-coding RNA, 2335 nt
Organism: Odocoileus virginianus texanus
Lineage: Eukaryota; Metazoa; Chordata; Mammalia; Artiodactyla; Cervidae
Source: RefSeq, a predicted model, not a curated record